UAAAAACAAUAACAAAGCCAUGAUACUAUGACGUAUUCUGUCGCUAUACAGAUAUGUAAAACAUGCCGUCAAUACCGGCAAAUGCGACAUAAAUAUUGUAUAAAAUUCAUUCAACUUACUCUCGAUACUUAAAUUGUAAAGGGAAACUUCUAAAAUGUCCACAUCGCUGCUUUCCGAGUCGUUUUCUUGCCUUAUUUCAGCCAUACCCGAGAACCGCAGAAUCGACCCGAGAAACGCGCAUUAUAUGGCAGAGUCUUGAUUACAUUUUGUCAACCAUCGAUCUCACCCCCCCGUCGCGCACCACUAAAUAUCCUUUACUAUCCCUACAAAUCCUAAAUAAUUCAGACUCUGCGGAGGAGAGUGG
Paramuricea clavata is the source of this 364-nucleotide non-coding RNA. Lineage: Eukaryota; Metazoa; Cnidaria; Anthozoa; Malacalcyonacea; Plexauridae. The record is from the annotation of a GenBank genome assembly.